GAGAUUUAUGGUCGGCAAACUGAGCUUCCUCUUGUGUUGAAUCCUUCCGGGAACUUUCCGGCACAUCACAGGUCUCUGUCCUUGGUGACUGUAAAAUGCGUCGUUCCUCUUUCUCUCCAACGUUUUUGCACUUAUCUGCAUAUAAGACAAUAGAAAACAAGGGUGCAUGUUGUUUGAAAGAGGACUGGUUAAGGUGGGGAACUAGCUAAAGAUGAACUAGCCAUUCAGGAUCAACAAAAGGGUAAAGGAGUCCUGAAUGUAUGAUUCGUUUCCCUGGUCUAAUGCAUCAAUGAGAGAAUUAAGUCCAAAUUAAGUCCAAAUAAAACAGAGUUAGUGUACUUCGUUUCAAAUGUGCUUUGCUACCGCCUAGUCUAGUCCUAAAUCAUGAAUGAGCAUGUCACUAGGAACAGUCUAAAAGCACACAGUCAACUAUCAUUGAUUCAUGUUCACCAUUCCCUUUUAAAACGUAUUUUGUUUUGAAAACCGAUUUUGAAAAACUUUAAGGAAAAUGCAAAAAGUGUAGAUAAUGCAAGACUCAUGAAAGAAAAGUGGUUAGAAAGGGAUGAAAUCCUCCCCUAGACUUAAAUCACACUGUAUUCAGUGUGAAACAAGUCGAGAUUGGAUGAGAAAAAUGCAUAGAUAAUCGAAUUGGUAAGGCCAAAGAGAACUUACCUAGAUCCGGGAUGCUGGUGGUGAUGGACCGGAUUCAUUCGAAGAGGUUUUGGAAGGUGAUAAGUGGUGGUGAAGGUGGUGGAGGAUGAUGAAUGAGGUGGAGUGGGGAUUGGUGAGGUGGAAUGAGGUGAAGUGGGUGGUUUGGGGUCGGGUUUGAUCUCAACGACCAUUUGCUGCGGUCAGGAGCCACGCGACCGCGGCAAACCGGUGCUCGGCCGCGGUCAGAAAGACAUGGCCACGGUCGAUCAUGCAUUUCCCGCGGUCAAAGCAUCUGCGACCGCAGGGGCUUAUAUCGCGGCCUGUUCCUGCUUCUCCUUGGUUCCUGCUGGGCCGAGCAAUCAGGGACCAUCCUUCUUUUUGUUUUUUUUUUCGGGUUUUUUUGAUUUUUUUGGCUUUUUUGUUUUAUAAGAAACACCUGAAACUAAGAAAAAGGAAAAGAUCAAUAGAAAAAGAAAGAAAAAUCCUAAAGAAAACAAUACCUAAAUGGGUUGCCUCCCAUUAAGCGCUUCUGUUUUAAGUCGUUUAGCUCGACUUUUGGUGUUGGACGUGGCUUAGUCCAAUGAAGAAGACCUUGUCCUGAAACAAGUCUUUUUCGACAUCUCCUUGUUUUGCCUAGCAGGUUCUUCGUCACUCCAAAGUUUUUCUUCAAACUCUUCUGUUGCAGAACGUUUUUCUGCUUUGCUGUUGUAUAGGACAGCUUCUGUGAAGACAUCGUUGUCGAUAUUUGCAAAUGAAAUCCUCCAGUUUGGCCAGUCCAUUAUAGCUCCGGAAGUUGCUAGAAAAGACCAUCCGAGAAUCACUGGAUAUGUUGCGUCUCUCGUCUCGACAAUGUAGAAGUCAACAUGCACUAUGCAAUCUCCUAUUCUCAAAGAAAUUUCAUGAACUAUUCCUUGAGGCGUUGCAUUGGAAUCAUCAGCUAGACUAAUCUUUGCUCUAGUCCUGCGUAGGUGGUUAAUACCAAGUCUCAAAGCAAUUGUCUUGGACAUCACGUUAAGACAAGCUCCAGAAUCACAAAACACGUUUUUAAACAUUUCUCCUCUAAUAGAAGAAGAGAUAAGGAACUGACCUGUAGUCUUGACCUUAUAGAGAAUUCGAACUUGCCUUUCUCUGUAGGUGUUGGCUGGUGUUUCAAACGCAGAAUAGGAUUCACAAAACAAAAGCUGCAGCAUCGUAUUCAAUGAUUGAAUCAAUGUAUGGCAUCUUUAUCUUGAUGUAUAUCGGGUCUUCUUGAAUUGAAGAGUCAGCUGAAUCUUCAACACAUUCCUUUGCCAUCAUACAAGGUAAUGAUUCCUGCCAAUCUGUUUCUUCAUCUGAAACUUGGUUUUCUUCUUCCUGAGUUGCUUUUUUAGGUGCUGGAGGUUGAAGUUGGGACAAAAGAUGUAUUAUUUUUCUCUCAAAUCCCGGAGGUGAAUCUGAACGACCAACUCCUGCGGUCAGAGGCGUCGCGACCACGGGAAAAGGAGCCUUGGCCGCGGUCAUAACGCUCGGACCCGCGGCUCCGGAUAUAAUUUGCUCAUAGUCCGUUUCUUCCUUCUUGUACUUGACACGAACUUCUCCAGCUUCUUUAUUUGGUAGACCAGCAUCAUAUGAACUCAUACCAGGGCGUUGUUGUGCAUCUUCAUCAGGAUCUUUGGUAGAUUUCUUAGAAAAUCUCCCAAUUUGCUCAAUAUUGGGCAUCUGUUCCAUUCUUGCAUCAAUCUCCCGUGCUUUGAGCUCGAGUUUGUUCAGCCUGUGAUCGAUCUCCUGUAACUCUUCGUCAGUCUUCUCUCUAUACCAGGAGGCGGAUUCUCUGACUUCUUUGAUCUCCUGCUUCGAUUCGACAAUAUCGCUUGAGUUCUGUAUGAUGUCAUACCCUUGUCUUGUCUGCUCUGUUGCGACUUGGUGGAUCAUCCCAGCUAGUGUUUGUGCGUCCUUGUGGGUUUGUUCUUCCAGAACUCGAACAUGAUUGGCCAGAUCAUCGAAUUUUCUGUUGAACUCUUCAGAGAUUGAAUCAAUUCUCUUGAGCAAGGUGUUUUCGGUGAGAAUCUGCUGAUCAAGGAACUAGUUUAUCAUUCCUUCGAGGCGUUCCAAACGUCUGCUGAUCCUCAAAUUGUCCUCUUGCUGACUAGGGUUCUGCAGUGGAGGAUUAUAGGCAUGUGGCUCGAAGUAGGUCAGAGGAGGACCAUAAGGAUCUUCCCGGCGUCGAACAGACUCUCUGCGCCGGUGGUAUGGAUGAUUUGGCUGGCUGUAUCGAUCCAUGUAGCUCAGAUCUCAGGCUUGGUGUUCUUCUCUGCGUCUGGUGGCUUGAGGAGUGUUGUAGAAACCUUCCUCAUAGUGUGGAUUUCGAUUUAUAGGAUCCAUAUCUUCUGAAAUGGAAACAAAAUAACCGAAAAUGGAAAUAUGUAGAAAAAGGGGUUCUAGAGUCGAUUUACCAACCUUUCUUAGGGUUUUGCGGAAAAGAAAAGGCGUGCCUUCCCUGGCAACGGCGCCAAAAACUUGAUGUGGUGUGUCGUGAGGGUGUCAAGUUUUACCCUAAAUGAAAUCAAUAGCCGCAAGUGCACAGCUGAUCGAUUGUAGUAGUUAGGGAUCGAAUCCACAGGGAAGGAGGAUCUUUCCUACAAAAGCCUUUGAAAGAAAUAUAAAGUAAGGAAGUCUAGAACCAAGCGAGUUUUGUGAGGGUUUUGGUGGUGUGUUUAAAACGUAAAAACGAAUCCUAAAGAGAAAAUACGGUAAUUAAAAUGACCUAAUAACUAAACUUAACGAAAAUGGGUAAAAACGAGAAAAACGGGUAAACCAAAUUGCUUUAAUAAAAAUCGAUUGAAAGAGAAUGAAAAUAGUGAACUAAAGCUUGAAAUAAAACGCUGUAAAUCUAUAAGAAAGAAAGCGCGGGGUUCAGGGAAGUUUUCUCAGGGGUAUGAACGAUUCAAAACAUUGCUAGAGAGUAAAUUUGAAAAGAUCUUAGCUUAAUCUUUUCGAACUGGAGUCACGGACGUAUGAAUACACCACCGUCGUGAUCAUAGACAACUAUCUCUCUCAACCCUGACCAGUAGGUUUCCACUCUGGCCCUGAAAAAGAAGAGAUGCAUUAUGUUUAAGACUCGUCAGCAUUCACAAAUCGCCCAUAGGUAGGUUUCCACUCCUAUGUUUGUUUUGCUCUCCCAAACUAGAUCUGACACCGGAUGAACACUUUCGUGUCACCAAGCAUCUGGAUCAGAUCGUAGUUCAUGACGCUACUUUCAUGCAGUAAAAACGAAUUCAGAAGAAAAAGUUCUAAGAUUCGGCUCAAUAGCCAAUGGAAUCCUCACCAAACAUAUAUAACCCCAUCAAAAAUCCCUUAGUCCCAACAAUAAAACUACUCAGACAUGAUAAACGAAAUCAAAAACAUAGUUGUGAAGAUAUGGGCUUUGGAUCAAUAUUAUUCACUUGGGCCAGAAGUUUCAGACAAAGCCAUAAAGCCUAACAUAUAUGGAUCACGUACGUCAUUAUGCGUUACAAGUCGGCUAUGGGUUGUUGGAUAUAAGAAGAAGUCGUGAGUUGAAGCAAACCCUAACAUAGAAACUAGAGAAAAAAGAGACGUAGUACAAGCAAGAGAAAUAGACGGAGAGAGAACAAAGGAGAGAGAAGUGAAAAAAGGAAUCCAAGAGAGCAACGAAGGAAGUUCGAGUCUUCUUUGUCGUGUGCUGUGAUUCAAAGUUUCUUUUCUUCUAUUGUUCUAAUCUGUGACUUGUACUUGAACACAAAGAGAGCGCCGGUUAGUGCGUUUGUGUAUUCUUUGAUUGAUAGUGGAGGUUGUGGGAGACGGUUCCCACCCCAGAUGUAGUGGUUCGAGGUUGUGAACUGGGUGAUCAAACUUUUGUGUCAUUUAAGUUUCUAAUCAUCUAAUAGAUCCUAAGAUCUAAGCACUGAGGAUAAGUUAAAAAUCCUUACAAGUGGUAUCAGAGCGUAACCGCAGCUCAAGCGUGGGCUACUCUUGAGAGGCUUUACAUGGCAAAGACUUUGCCUAAUCGGGUCCAUUCUCAGCUUAAGGUGUAUUCUUUUAGAAUGCAGGAUUCAAGAUCAAUUGAUCAGAAUGUAGAUGACUUCUUGAAGUUGAUUGCAGAUUUGAGCAACCUCAACAUUGAGAUACCAGAAGAGGUUCAGGCAAUACUGCUACUCAACUCUCUUCCCCCUAGGUAUGAUUCUUUAAAAGAUACUCUUAAGUAUAGUAGGGAAGCUAUUGUGUUGGAGGAAGUAGCUAGUGCUGCAAAAUCUAAGGAGAGAGAGCUGGCUGAAAAUGAAAAGCUUUCAAGAUCAGAUGGAGAAGGGUUAUAUGUUGAGGCUAGAGGCAGAUCAGAAAAGAGGUCAGAGAAUGGAAGAGGAAGGUCUAAGAGUAGAGGAAAGAAAAACAACAAAGGUUGUUUUAUCUGUGGAGAUGAAGGACAUUGGAAGCGGGAAUGUCCUCAUAAAAAGAAACCUGCAGACUCUGCAAAUGUUGCAACAGAUACAAAAGAACCAAUGGUGUUAAGUGUCAGUUCGCAAGAUACUAAGAAAGAAUGGAUUAUGGACUCGGGAUGUUCAUACCAUAGUACAUCAGACAAAGAAGUCUUGUUUGGCUUCAAGGAGUUUGAUGGUGGUAAAGUUCUGAUGGCUAAUAACACUCAUUGUGACAUCAAAGGAAUGGGAAUGAUUCAAAUUCAGAACCCAGAUGGUUCUGUAGUGAUACUCAAGGAUGUGAAAUACAUACCAGAGGUGAGUAGGAAUCUUAUUUCUUAUGGGAUGUUAGAAAAAUCAGGUUGCAGGUAUGAAGGAGGUAACUUCAAGGUUCAGUUCUACAAAGGCAAGAAGAAGGUAAUAUCUGGAAAAUACCAAGGUGGUUUGUAUUAUCUUCAAGGCACAGUUUCUAAAGUUGACGUGAACAUGCCAAAAGCUGAGGUAGAAGUGAAAAAAGAAGAAGUUAAAGAAGGUGACAUUCAGUGAGAAUCUGAUUCAAGGACCUACUCCAUAUCGUUUUGAAACAAGGGAUUCAUCAGCUCAAGGUGAAGACUUUUCUUCGUCAGAAGAAUCUGAAAGUUCGGCAGAAAGUGAGUCUAAGGAGAGCAAGGAAGAAUCUGAGAAAGAAUUUUCACUAGAUGAGUACGUGAAAAGUGAAAAGCAAAAACUUUGGACAAGUGUUGAAGAAGAGGAGAGAUUGAACAAAGGACUUGGAGGUAAAAGAAUUGGGAAAGGUUUCAGAAAUUUUGGAAACGGGUAUCUUCGGAGGUAAAGCUAAAGGAGAUUUAGUUUUACCUACAGUUCUCACAAGUAAAAGUCCAGCAGAGUUUGUAAGUGAAGCAGUACCUGAACAAAAAGCUCAGGUGUGCUGCGAUCUUCUCAACAUAGUCUAAGAUUGGUACGGCUCCAGGUAACUCCAUAUUAUUGGCAUGGUACUCUCGCAGGAAGAACACAGAAACGGUCGGUUUCGGAAAUGUUCUUAUGUCGAUAAUUAAUGGAUUAGAGGAGUUACCUGUAGGCAUCUGAAAUCAUGGUGAGGAGACUUUGAUUCCAGGUGGAGCUGUUGGGAGAUUCAAGGGAAGACAUGUGAGCUGUGUUUUCAUGAAUCUGGGAAGCAAGUCGAGAGUACAAGGUUCAGGUUAAGGGACUUACCUGAGGUCAUCUAAGUAGCUAAAGAACAUGGGCUGUUCAUCGGAAGGAGCUGCAAAGAAGAUGAAAUUGAAACUGAUUAGUUUCAGGUGGAGUAGCUGGAAGUGAUUCAUGAAGAGGUUGAUUCAAAGCUCAGUGCACAUGAGAUGAAUCAACAGGUCGACAAAGAUGAAUCAAGUUUUCUGGAGAAGCUACGAAGUAUGAAAUCAAUAAUUAAGAUUUCAUGGUGUCUUGGAAGUAUUUUAAGAUACAGAGAAGAAAAGGAGAUGAUUCAGGUCAGAGGGUUACCUGAGUUCAUCGGAGAAGUUGUGUUUUUCCGCUGCUGCGUAAUAAAGGACUGAAAUUUCAGAAUUGGGAAUCUCAGAAAGGGUCAAUUUCAAAUCAUCACAGCAAGGAGAUGAAGAGGAAAUUGAGGAUACCUGAGAUUACAGAAGAUUAUUGCGACAGAAGAAUCGCAGGAGAUGAAUUUUUUCUUUUUUUUGGUUUGAGAAAAUUUGCAUCUAGUUUCACUAUCGGGAAAAAUCAAAGAGGAAUUGACACUUUGGAGCUUGAAUGGUGACGUGUGAGGGCAGUUGAAGAUACCAGAGAGUGUCGACGGCGACGACAUCACCGGAAAUGAAAAACCCAGGUUGAUCUCUUGAAAUCGCGAUUGAGAGAGAUGAUGGGAAAUUUGGUGACAAGGAUCGAAAUUGGUUGAGCCCAAUGAUGUCGCAAGCUUCAGAGUUUGUCAGAAGUGGUCGAGGUUUGAGAGUUCGCCGGAGUUGAAGUUGCAGAAUGGGAUUUGCAUCUCAGGCGAAGUAGAAGCUUCGAUGAAGAAGAAAACGUGAAAAGAAGAUGAUGGGAAGGUGGGCCUGUGGAGAUUGUGAAGAUAUGGGUUUUGGAUCAAUAUUAUUCACUUGGGCCAGAAGUUUCAGACAAAGCCAUAAAGCCUA
RNAcentral lists this long non-coding RNA (7201 nucleotides) under Eutrema salsugineum. RNAcentral's name for it is "long non-coding RNA (ESAL_LNC000207)". The record is from RNAcentral. Lineage: Eukaryota; Viridiplantae; Streptophyta; Magnoliopsida; Brassicales; Brassicaceae.